GAUUUGGACUCAUUGGAUCAAAACUUGGCUAAGAACUUGGCUGGGGACGUGAUCGGAACCAGGUUCGAGAAUGAGGACGUGAAGUCGACUCCUUUCCAACCAUACACCGAGGUGUUUGGGCUUCAGAGGUUCAGGGAGUGCGAACUGAUACACGGGAGAUGGGCUAUGUUGGCUACCCUUGGUGCGCUUGUUGUUGAAUCGGUGACUGGUGUUACAUGGCAAGACGCUGGAAAGGUACCAUAUAUAUAUGUAUAACCUAAUCUGUAUCAUUUAUCAAUCAUAAAAACAAAAGAGCUCAUUAACUAAUCUUUUUAUUUGACAUUUGCUUUCUUUUAGGUGGAACUAAUCGAUGGUUCAUCUUAUUUUGGACAACCGUUACCCUUCUCUAUCACUACUUUGAUUUGGAUCGAGGUUUUGGUUAUCGGAUACAUUGAGUUUCAAAGGAACGCUGAACUGGAACCUGAGAAAAGACUCUACCCAGGUGGUCCAUUCGAUCCAUUGAACUUGGCAGCUGACCCUGAAAAGAAAGCUGUUCUUCAAUUGGCGGAGAUCAAGCAUGCUCGUCUUGCUAUGGUGGCGUUUCUUGGGUUUGCUGUCCAGGCUGCAGCCACCGGAAAGGGCCCGCUCAACAACUGGGUAACCCAUUUGAGUGACCCGCUUCACACUACCAUUCUUGAUACCUUUGGGUUCUUUUCCUAGAUAUAUUUUGUUUUAAUUACUAUCUCUACAUAUGAUACUUAUGCAUCCUCGUCUUUACUAUGACCUUGUAAAGUUUGUAACAUUUGGCUGUUUG
RNAcentral lists this long non-coding RNA (793 nucleotides) under Lactuca sativa (garden lettuce). RNAcentral's name for it is "long non-coding RNA (LSAT_LNC005965)". The record is from RNAcentral. Lineage: Eukaryota; Viridiplantae; Streptophyta; Magnoliopsida; Asterales; Asteraceae.